This 465-nucleotide ribosomal RNA is filed under the name Vreelandella stevensii. Its description in RNAcentral is "partial 16S ribosomal RNA". It matches the Rfam family "Bacterial small subunit ribosomal RNA", at positions 338 to 795 of the family's 1533-position model. The record is from RNAcentral. Lineage: Bacteria; Pseudomonadati; Pseudomonadota; Gammaproteobacteria; Oceanospirillales; Halomonadaceae.
CCUACGGGUGGCAGCAGUGGGGAAUAUUGGACAAUGGGCGAAAGCCUGAUCCAGCCAUGCCGCGUGUGGGAAGAAGGCCUUCGGGUUGUAAAGCACUUUCAGUGGGGAAGAAAGCCUUGGGGCUAAUACCCUCGAGGAAGGACAUCACCCACAGAAGAAGCACCGGCUAACUCCGUGCCAGCAGCCGCGGUAAUACGGAGGGUGCGAGCGUUAAUCGGAAUUACUGGGCGUAAAGCGCGCGUAGGCGGUCUGAUAAGCCGGUUGUGAAAGCCCCGGGCUCAACCUGGGAACGGCAUCCGGAACUGUCAGGCUAGAGUGCAGGAGAGGAAGGUAGAAUUCCCGGUGUAGCGGUGAAAUGCGUAGAGAUCGGGAGGAAUACCAGUGGCGAAGGCGGCCUUCUGGACUGACACUGACGCUGAGGUGCGAAAGCGUGGGUAGCAAACAGGAUUAGAUACCCCUGUAGUC